This is a long non-coding RNA of Zophobas morio, 2535 nucleotides long. RefSeq lists it as uncharacterized. Lineage: Eukaryota; Metazoa; Arthropoda; Insecta; Coleoptera; Tenebrionidae. The transcript has 6 exons. The record is from RefSeq and is a predicted model, not a curated record.
UUAUAAAUAUUGUGACGUGAUUGUGACAAUCAUUUGUCGUUAGCAGUUAAAACAACGAAGUAAAUUAACCAAUAGGUUAUGUCAAUUUGUCAGCUUUUAUUUACAAAGAAGAUAAUAAGUUAUAAUACUAUUAUGAACACUAACGAUAGAUAGAAACACAAAUUAUUAAAACACGAAAACAAUACACAGAAAACUUACAAAUAUUGGAUAACACUGGUCUAGCUACUAUAACAAUUAGCAUCACACAAAAUUCACUCUGGUGCUGUUGGCAAGACAAUAAUGGGUUUUGUAAUAAAUGUGGUUCCAAUAUUUUGAUGAGUUGACCGCAUGUUCUGUUGAAAGUUAAAUGUGGUAACACCUCUUGUGUUAUUUCAGCAAUUCUUUUGACGAGUCCUACGAAAGGUUCGUUGGGGUACAGUAAACCUCCACGAUCUUGGAGUGUGAUUAAUUUCAUUAGAGGUCCAGCUUUAAAAUAAUGUAUCCCGACAGGAAAGCCACAGAGGCAGAGAAUAGAUUUGGCUCUGGUAUUUCAUUCUUUUUUAAAUUGUGUAUUUUAGUUCGUAGUGUCGCUGGUAAAAGUAUUUCUUCAAAGUCUUCAUCAAUAUUUUGUGGUCUCACACGAGAAAGUUGGUUACGGCUUAUAUUACUUAUAGUUUUUGCUGUGUUGGCAGAAGUCGAUGAUUUUAAAAUACCAGAGCGCAAAAUUUGCCGUAAACCAUACUCGGCAGCACGAGCAUCGGUAGUAUCAUUUGAACCACCUUUCAAGCGUAUAUGAGAAAAAGUUGCUUCAACAGCAUCGGAACUGAAACAACGAGUGCGUGAGCAGUUUCGUUGCUCAAACCUUGGUACCCUGUGCAUGCAGAGAUCGACUGGAUAUCAUCAACAUAAUUUUGGAAGUCCUUAUUUAGCCACUGCAGGCGUUCAUCACAAAUAUCAAUAUAUGGUGCAAUACUGCUGUUUAAUGCAUGUAUGUAGUGCCUUCUGCUUGAGACAUUGUGGACUUGGAAAAAGAGGAACAUGUUUUCCAUAGCUUCAGUGCUGCGGUAACGGUUGGUGAAAAUACCUGUAUGGCCCGCAAAACAUUCAUCUUCUCGAAAUUAGAUGGGUAUAGAUGUUUUUUAGUUAGAUAUCUAACAGGCUUUACAGGCAUCCCCUUUUGCAAGUCAUAUAAAGCUUUCAAAAAUGAUGACGAAAUAACACCAGCUGACGAGUUCAUGUCAUGGUCUAAGAAGAGGUUUCUAGCAUUUUUGAUUGCGUGGCAAAAGUCGAAUGAUAAGAAGAGGGGCAUCGGUAGAAAUGGGUUGUUAAUGCAGUUUUGCAAUAUUCCUCCACUUAAAUUUUUAAAUAGACCAACAUUGCCGGGAUGAUUAUCUGUAACAAUCCUCAACACCAUGAAGCCACAAUCUGUUAAUAGUUUCAUCACUUGCAUGGUUAAAGAGUGAAAUUCUUUGGCUUGCAUAGAUGAGUGGAAAAAAUACCCACAUGGUUUUUUUCCAAUAGAAGAGUCAGAACUGCAAGUAUUAAGGCCAUAAAUAUGAUCUUCAACUCUGUGAUAAUACAUUUUCUCUUUAAUUGACAUAUCGUCAAUAAUUAGUGAACACAAUCGUUGUGCAGGAUGCUCUAAAUGUGCAAUUUCUACAGACAAACGUUCUUUGAUAAGGUCAUUUUGUCCAUUGAAGUGACCAAGAUGCCUGUCUAUGGUUGCCCGAGAUGGUAAUUUGACCAAAUGUGUUUGGCAAUAAUCGUAUCCUUUAGGUGAACAGUAUCUCCACACGGUACAUGAUCGAACAGACAUUUCAGACCAUCUUGGCGAUUUCUUCUUAUAAUUAUGAAUUAAGUCUAGUAGAAAAAUGGCCUUUUCAUCAGAACUGUCAGCAUCGCUGUUAAUUUGCUCCAGUACGUCUAUGGUUUUUGAAUGUUUCUUCAGUUGAUGCUCAAUGUUUUUAAGUUUUGCAGAGCAGCGAGCAUGAGAACGUUUUUCUUUUUUUAAUUCUAACGCUAAGGCUUUACAUUUCUCAUGCAAAGCUGUCAUCUCACUGGAGGAAUUAUUCAUUUCGUUUCUGGGAGACAAAUUGGGAUCGUUGAAGUGAAUUGAAUCGGGAAUGGAAGCGCAAGAAGGACCAGGUAUAACAGGAUCAGUAUCCUUCAACAAAAAUUAUAUUUAAAACGAAUUAAAAUUAUUAAAAUGUUUUUUAUUAUUGUCUAAAGUACUGUAAAUUUAAAAAAUAAUUACAAUAUUUAAAAAUAAAUUUUUUUACCGCACUAUACUUACAAAUAUGGUAGGAAUGGAUCCCUUGAUUAAACGAUAUCCUGUAGCAACUUUCUUGAAACAUUUUUCUUUGAAAUGUUUCUUGCAAAUUACAGUGAAAUCUGUUAUUUCGAAUGCAUCUGCAAGUGGAUCAGAAAAGUGUGUACCGUAAAUUUGAUUAAAAAAUACUUACUGUAAUGUUUUUUGAAGAACUCUAACCACCAGGGGCGGCUUGUCCGAUGAGGCAGGUGAGGCAGUGCCUCACCAAUGAAUUGCGCCUUAUUCGU